This is a long non-coding RNA of Bombus pyrosoma, 1052 nucleotides long. RefSeq lists it as uncharacterized. The transcript has 4 exons. NCBI's taxonomy places the organism in Eukaryota, Metazoa, Arthropoda, Insecta, Hymenoptera, Apidae. The record is from RefSeq and is a predicted model, not a curated record.
UUCACAUUUUCGUUUGUGAACACGGCAUUGAGUUUUAAUGUGUGUUUGUGCGUGAUGUUUCCUCGAUAUUUUAGUUUGUUGGGGUUUAUAUAUUUUCCUCUGUGGGUGCAGGUUAUGUUGGUUAUGGACAUGGAAGUAUCUGCAUUUGUCCAACCUGUACAACGCAAGAGGAGGAGAUUCCAAAAAUGUGUAGGCGGCUCGUGAAGACGAUCCAGAUGACUGUGCGAAGGCUCGCUUCCCUGAGGAGACUUCUGCCAGAGUCCUGGAUAUUCUCCUGUGUCACUGCUCUUGUGGUCAGAGCGAUCUUCUCUGCUGUAUGCUCCCAGUACAUGGAGAGACUUCGUGAGAUGUUCUUGACGUUAUUUUACUCAUUUGGUUAAUAUUUCCAUCUGAUUAUUGCUUCCAGUGUUUGGUUGAUUUAUUGUUUUUCGGUGUAGGUUUUGGUGAUUAUGAUAUUAAAUGGUGAAUACAGAGGUGUCUUCAUCAAAGGUUCCUUAUGCAGACUGUCCUGCGCAAGAAGAGGACGGGUUCCAAAAUGUGUGAGUGGUGCCAGAAGGCGUAGUCAACGUGUGAAGUGUCGUGGGCAAGAACGAAGAAUCGUGUGACAUUUGUGUUGAUUAUGUUCGAUGCUGAUAUAUAUAUAUUAUUUUGUUGGUUAAAUCUUCAGUCAGUUUAGUUGAAUAUUCUGUAAUGUAAUAUUCGCAAGGUAGUUUCAUAUAUUUAUUCCAUCAUGUUUAUUUGAUUAUUAGUUGUUUGAUGUGAUAAUAAUAUAUAUAUAUGUCGGAGAUGAAAGAACACCGGAGCCUUCCUUGGGAACUUGGGGAGAAUCCCGUAAUAUUGUAAUCCGGAUUUCACCAUGGCCAUAAUUAAAUAAUUGUCAUUCAAUCCGAUCGUGUUUAUUUGAGAUUUGUAACAGUGAGCUUGGGCCCGAGGCGACAAUCAGUCGCCAACGUAGCCGCGGUCAAGGGAUAAACGUUUACCUAAACAAAGGCAUAGAGUAACCGUAUAGCUCUCCUUGAAAAAAUACAGCAGCGGCGCGCGGCAGUAAACAC